GGCUGCGUGGUGAAGCGGUCAGCACGCUCGACACGUAUUCGAAAGGUCCGUGGUUCAAGUCCCGGCGAGGGCA
Molecule: transfer RNA, 73 nt
Filed under: Stegodyphus mimosarum
Lineage: Eukaryota; Metazoa; Arthropoda; Arachnida; Araneae; Eresidae
Rfam family: tRNA
About the family: Transfer RNA (tRNA) molecules are approximately 80 nucleotides in length. Their secondary structure includes four short double-helical elements and three loops (D, anti-codon, and T loops).
Source: Rfam by way of RNAcentral